AACGAACACUGGCGGCGUGCUUAACACAUGCAAGUCGAACGCGAAAACCCGGGCAACUGGGUGAGUAGAGUGGCGCACGGGUGAGUAAUACGUGAGUAACCUACCUUCGAGUGGGGAAUAACUCCUCGAAAGGGGAGCUAAUACCGCAUAAGACCACGAUCUCCUCGGGGGUUGAGGUCAAAGGUAGCCUCAAUCAACAGAGUGUUUGGGACGGCCUUUCGUCAUCGGAGGGUGGUCCUCAACACUUUGGACGAUGAAGCUGCUGCUUGAAGACGGGCUCACGGCCCAUCAGCUAGUUGGUGAGGUAACGGCCCACCAAGGCUACGACGGGUAGCUGGUCUGAGAGGACGACCAGCCACACGGGAAUUGAGAUACGGUCCCGACUCCUACGGGAGGCAGCAGUGGGGAAUCUUGGGCAAUGGGGGAAACCCUGACCCAGCGACGCCGCGUGGGGGACGAAGGCCCUCGGGUUGUAAACCCCUGUUAGGUGGGACGAAUGCCCUAUUGCAAAUAGCGGUAGGGUUUGACGGUACCACCAGAGAAAGCCCCGGCUAACUCCGUGCCAGCAGCCGCGGUAAUACGGAGGGGGCGAGUGUUGUUCGGAAUUACUGGGCGUAAAGGGCGCGCAGGCGGCUUGCAAGUCGAGUGUGAAAUCCCUUGCUUAACUAAGGAAUGGCGCUCGAAACUACCUCGCUGGAGGGCGGGAGAGGGAAGUGGAACUCUCGGUGUAGGGGUGAAAUCUGUAGAUAUCGAGA
This 755-nucleotide ribosomal RNA is filed under the name uncultured Planctomycetota bacterium. RNAcentral describes it as "bacterial SSU rRNA". It matches the Rfam family "Bacterial small subunit ribosomal RNA", at positions 28 to 702 of the family's 1533-position model. The record is from RNAcentral. Lineage: Bacteria; Pseudomonadati; Planctomycetota.